Dromiciops gliroides (monito del monte) is the source of this 105-nucleotide small nuclear RNA. The record is from RefSeq and is a predicted model, not a curated record. Lineage: Eukaryota; Metazoa; Chordata; Mammalia; Microbiotheria; Microbiotheriidae.
GUGCUUGCUUCAGCAGCACAUAUACUAAAAUUGGAAUGAUACAGAGAUGAUUAGCACAGCCCCUGAAAGGAUGACAUGCAAAUUCGUGAAGCGUCAAAAUAAGGA